GAUAAGCGCCACGGACGAUCAGGGAUCUGCGCUGGGCCCCGGCAGACAUUUUUAUACCCCGACACACUCAACAAUCAACACAAAAAAAAGAACUCUUCGGGGCUUGUCAAAUUUGUGAUUUGUGCAGACCAAAGAACUCCAGACCCGUCACGACGAAGAACCCGACACGCGAAGUUCGCCCGCCUCCUCGGAUAUAAAAACAACGCCAGGCAGCAAAUGCCGUUUGUGGACGGGUCCGGCCGGACGGAGAUCGCAUCGAGCCGUGGAAAGGAGGAAACAAGUGAAAGUCAACUAGGAAUUUUAAUUAAUUUUAUUUAACUAAUUAGACGGCGGAAAAGAACUAUUUCAAAAUGGCUGCAGACCAUUUCUGUUUACGAUGGAACAAUUACCAAAGCAAUAUGGUCUCUGAACUUGAUAUUUUAAGGACUGAAGAAUAUUUGGUUGAUGUUACUCUGUGCUGUGAAGGGCAUAAAUUUAGAGCACAUAAAGUGAUACUUUCUGCAUGCAGUCCGUAUUUCCGAAAUGUUUUCAAGGAAAACCCGUGUGAACAUCCGGUUGUAAUUUUAAAAGAUGUAUCUCCUGACGAUGUGGAAGCCUUAUUAAGUUUUGUAUACCAGGGUGUGGUUUAUGUCUCAGAAAAGAAACUGUCGUCGUUUUUACAAACGGCGGAACUUUUACAAAUCAAAGGUCUGGCGGGUGCAGCUUCUAGUUUUAACGAUGAACAAACAAAACAAGCGGCGACACCUCAGAGCCCAAUAAAAAGAAGGAAAGGUGCUCCUGUCAGGAUAGUUAAACACGAAGACGGAGAAGAGGACAGCAAUCAAAUGGAGGCCGAAGGAGAAAACGUAAAGAAUGAGUUCUCAGAAGAAAUGGAUGCUUCCAAAAACGAUGAAGAUGGGUCUAUGGGUGAGGAGUCGGAGUCCGAGAAUGGAGGCGAAGUCAAUACAAGCAAUUAUGGAUCAGUGGAUAUGAGAGGGGAUGAAAACAUGGUUAGCGAUAGGGAUAGAGUUAUGGGUAAUUCAAGGGAUCAAAUGGUGACACUUCUUCAACAGACUUUGGCUAGACAAAGGACAGCAGCACCGUCACAAUCUUUGUUAGAAAAUUCAGUUCAAGGCCAAUUUCCAGUACCUGUUCAAAACCAAGGAUCAAUACCAGAACUUUUAUCACCAGCAGGGUCUCAUCUUGCUCUGGUAGGGACCUGCCCCCAUUGUGGCAUUAAGUACGAGAACCAAUCAGCCCUAAAGUACCAUGUGCGACUCGUCCACUCGGAUUUCACUAAUAAACAGUGUUGUUACCUUUGCCCACAGUCAUUUAUAACGAGGGACUGUUUCAAAUCGCACAUGCGGUCCGUUCAUAGCGUCAGAAAUUGAUCUGUAUGUAAUUGUCAAUUGCCUACGAUUAAAGUCAGGCCAGACUGAUUGGCACACAUUCAAAUGUGGAACAGUGAUCGAAACGGAAGGCGGCCUUGCCCACUGUGCACCAAGGUCAUAUCGAACAAGUCGAAUCUGUUGAAACACAUGCGGAUACGGC
This 1530-nucleotide unclassified non-coding RNA is filed under the name Cimex lectularius (bed bug). RNAcentral describes it as "protein bric-a-brac 2, transcript variant X2". Lineage: Eukaryota; Metazoa; Arthropoda; Insecta; Hemiptera; Cimicidae. The record is from RNAcentral.